UCAAGCUCACUCCUUUUCCCUUUCACUGCAACUAGGAGCUUCAGAGAGGGAGUGAACUUUGAGAAUUUUGGAAACUGCAUUAUCAAGAGGUUGAACGGGAACGAGAGAGCGAAGGUGUUGAGCAACGGAAAUUAAUAAGUAGUAUUAGGAUGCCCCAAAGAAGUGUGUCUUCACACAUACUUCCUUGUCUUAGUCUCUUCCGCUGCAUUAGAACUUUGUACUAGGAGUUUAUGAACCUAGUUAACGUAGUUUGACUUUAUUUUGACCUUGUACCCCUUUCGCCUUCGAAAUCAAGGUUUUGAACUUGACUUAUCAUCUAUGUUUAUUUAUUUUUUAUUUAA
Salvia splendens (bonfire salvia) is the source of this 341-nucleotide long non-coding RNA. RefSeq lists it as uncharacterized. The record is from RefSeq and is a predicted model, not a curated record. NCBI's taxonomy places the organism in Eukaryota, Viridiplantae, Streptophyta, Magnoliopsida, Lamiales, Lamiaceae. The transcript has 2 exons.